This 854-nucleotide ribosomal RNA is filed under the name uncultured bacterium. Its description in RNAcentral is "bacterial SSU rRNA". It matches the Rfam family "Bacterial small subunit ribosomal RNA", at positions 61 to 936 of the family's 1533-position model. The record is from RNAcentral.
GUCGAGCGAUGAAGUUCCUUCGGGAACGGAUUAGCGGCGGACGGGUGAUACACGUGGGUAACCUGCCUUAUAGAGGGGGAUAGCCUUCCGAAAGGAAGAUUAAUACCGCAUAAAGUUGUUGAUUCGCAUGGAUCGAUAACCAAAGGAGCAAUCCGCUAUAAGAUGGACCCGCGGCGCAUUAGCUAGUUGGUGAGGUAACGGCUCACCAAGGCGACGAUGCGUAGCCGACCUGAGAGGGUGAUCGGCCACAUUGGGACUGAGACACGGCCCAGACUCCUACGGGAGGCAGCAGUGGGGAAUAUUGCACAAUGGGGGAAACCCUGAUGCAGCAACGCCGCGUGAGUGAUGAAGGCCUUCGGGUUGUAAAGCUCUGUCUUUGGGGACGAUAAUGACGGUACCCAAGGAGGAAGCCACGGCUAACUACGUGCCAGCAGCCGCGGUAAUACGUAGGUGGCAAGCGUUGUCCGGAUUUACUGGGCGUAAAGGGAGCGUAGGCGGAUUUUUAAGUGGGAUGUGAAAUACCCGGGCUCAACUUGGGUGCUGCAUUCCAAACUGGAAGUCUAGAGUGCAGGAGAGGAAAGUGGAAUUCCUAGUGUAGCGGUGAAAUGCGUAGAGAUUAGGAAGAACACCAGUGGCGAAGGCGACUUUCUGGACUGUAACUGACGCUGAGCUCGAAAGCGUGGGGAGCAAACAGGAUAGAUACCCUGGUAGUCCACGCCGUAAACGAUGGAUACUAGUGUGGGAGGUAUCAACUCCUUCCGUGCCGCCGUAAACACAUUAAGUAUCCCGCCUGGGGAGUACGGUCGCAAGAUUAAAACUCAAAGGAAUUGACGGGGACCCGCACAAGCAGCGGA